Molecule: small nuclear RNA, 98 nt
Organism: Otolemur garnettii (small-eared galago)
Lineage: Eukaryota; Metazoa; Chordata; Mammalia; Primates; Galagidae
Source: Ensembl
UUGGCAACAAAUAUACUAAAAUUGGAAUGAUACAGAGAAGAUUAGCAUGGGCCCUGCACAAGGAUGACAUUCAAAUUCAUAAUGAUUUUCAUAUUUUU